This 65-nucleotide transfer RNA is filed under the name Amblyomma javanense. Its description in RNAcentral is "tRNA-Leu". Lineage: Eukaryota; Metazoa; Arthropoda; Arachnida; Ixodida; Ixodidae. The record is from RNAcentral.
UUCAAUUUGGCAGAAAAUUGCGAUAAAUUUAGAAUUUAUUUAUGAUACUUGAAAAUCAGUUGAAA